GAUGAACGCUGGCGGCGUGCCUAAUACAUGCAAGUCGAGCGAACAGACGAGGAGCUUGCUCCUCUGACGUUAGCGGCGGACGGGUGAGUAACACGUGGAUAACCUACCUAUAAGACUGGGAUAACUUCGGGAAACCGGAGCUAAUACCGGAUAAUCUAUUGAACCGCAUGGUUCAAUAGUGAAAGACGGUUUUGCUGUCACUUAUAGAUGGAUCCGCGCCGCAUUAGCUGGUUGGUAAGGUAACGGCUUACCAAGGCAACGAUGCGUAGCCGACCUGAGAGGGUGAUCGGCCACACGGGAGCUGAGACACGGACCAGGCUCCUACGGGAGGCAGCAGUAGGGAAUCUUCCGCAAUGGGCGAAAGCCUGGCGGAGCAACGCCGCGUGAGUGAUGAAGGUCUUCGGAUCGUAAAACUCUGUUAUUAGGGAAGAACAAAUGUGUAAGUAACUAUGCACGUAUUGACGGUACCUAAUCAGAAAGCCACGGCUAACUACGUG
This 497-nucleotide ribosomal RNA is filed under the name uncultured bacterium. RNAcentral's name for it is "partial 16S ribosomal RNA". It matches the Rfam family "Bacterial small subunit ribosomal RNA", at positions 28 to 507 of the family's 1533-position model. The record is from RNAcentral.